CCGGUUUAAGUUCUUUGGAAUAUUACAUCACAGAGGGUGAGAAUCCCGUAUGUGACCGGUUGCCUCGCCCCGUGUAAAGCUCUUUCGACGAGUCGAGUUGUUUGGGAAUGCAGCUCUAAAUGGGUGGUAUAUUUCAUCUAAAGCUAAAUACUGGCCAGAGACCGAUAGCGCACAAGUAGAGUGAUCGAAAGGUGAAAAGAACUUUGAAAAGAGAGUUAAACAGUACGUGAAAUUGUUGAAGGGGAAGCGCUUGCAACCAGACUUGGACUUAGUUGAUCACCCGGUGUUCUCACCGGGGCACUCUGCUAUGUACAGGCCAGCAUCGGUUUUGGUGGUUGGAUAAAGACUAUGGGAAUGUGGCUCUUCCGGGAGUGUUAUAGCCCAUGGUGCAAUGCAACCUACCGAGACCGAGGACCGCGCUUCGGCUAGGAUGCUGGCGUAAUGGUUGUAAGCGGCCCGUCUUGAAACACGGACCAAGGAGUCUAACAUCUAUGCGAGUGUUUGGGUGUUAAACCCAUACGCGAAAUGAAAGUGAACGGAGGUGAGAACCCGCAAGGGGGCAUCAUCGACCGGUCCUGAUGUCUUCGGACGGAUCUGAGUAAGAGCAUAGCUGCUGGGGACCCGAAAGAUGGUGAACUAUACGUGAAUAGGGUGAAGCCAGAGGAAA
RNAcentral lists this ribosomal RNA (667 nucleotides) under Populomyces zwinianus. RNAcentral describes it as "partial large subunit ribosomal RNA". It matches the Rfam family "Eukaryotic large subunit ribosomal RNA", at positions 176 to 861 of the family's 3401-position model. Lineage: Eukaryota; Fungi; Ascomycota; Leotiomycetes; Helotiales; Calloriaceae. The record is from RNAcentral.